GGAGAGGUGUCCGAGUGGUUGAAGGAGCACGCCUGGAAAGUGUGUAUACUCCUAAAGGGUAUCGCGGGUUCGAAUCCCGCCCUCUCCG
RNAcentral lists this transfer RNA (88 nucleotides) under Chitinophagaceae bacterium. RNAcentral describes it as "tRNA-Ser". It matches the Rfam family "tRNA". From Rfam's summary of the family: Transfer RNA (tRNA) molecules are approximately 80 nucleotides in length. Their secondary structure includes four short double-helical elements and three loops (D, anti-codon, and T loops). Lineage: Bacteria; Pseudomonadati; Bacteroidota; Chitinophagia; Chitinophagales; Chitinophagaceae. The record is from RNAcentral. RNAcentral also lists the same sequence under 2 other names.